Molecule: long non-coding RNA, 1391 nt
Organism: Falco peregrinus (peregrine falcon)
Lineage: Eukaryota; Metazoa; Chordata; Aves; Falconiformes; Falconidae
Exons: 4
Source: RefSeq, a predicted model, not a curated record
AGGAAACCCUCGUGUCGCGACCCACUGGCGUCUGGCUAAUCCGAUGGUAUUCGUCGCCGCAUUGUCCGUGAUCAAUAACUAAUUAUCAAAGUGGCAUUUCUUUUCAAGAGCUCCUUGUUAAAAAAUGGCUUUUGGCUGAGAGUGGAGGAAAAAGGUCGCCACUUUGACAUCGUUGCGAGUCUUUCAAAAUCCAGUGGGCCGUCCGAUUGAAUUACUGUCCCAAACUAAUUGAUAUAAAUUUGAACAGAAGAAUGCUUGUUACUACAGAAUGUCAUAAUGAUAUCCUUGGCAAGAGCAUGUCAGUGGGAAAAAAAAAAAAAGACCAGCACUAGUCACAAAGCAUUUAGACAAGUCGCAGCACAAGACUAUUCACAAAAUUAACAGGAACAAAAUUGUACACCAAUUUCUUCUUCCCAGCCAGUCUGAUCAGACAUUCAAGAAAGAAAAGCAUUAACAUUUUCUUUUGAACCUUAUCCUUCACUUGAAAACAGACUUUUAAAAAAUCUACUGUAAAAAUAUUUGCAAUAUACAAAGAACUGGAACUUGAUGAUAGUUGCAGAAGUCUCAUUGACUCUACGGGGAUCAUGAUUGUGCACAGAUGGACUGAUGCCAAUGGAACCAUGGAAUGUCUCUGGAUAUACAUUCACUGCGACUGAGGAAGAAAUGUUAAUGGGACAAUUUGGAUUGUAUCCAGUAAAGACACAAGGAGGUUCCAAAGGUGUCAUUAGUUACCAUGAUGAUUUGAAUGAGUUAAAGUUAUCUGUAUGAAGCUGAACCAGGGGAGUCAAGGAGGAAGGCUGUGGCAAGAUGGAAAACAUCACUAAAAGCCCAGGUGGGUGGAAGAGCCACUACACAAUGACUCCUCACUGAGUUACUCCUGUAUCCUUUACUAUCAACAAAAGAUUGAUCCAACAGUAGCAGGUGUAUUUAUUAUUUUAUUCUCACAGUAGGCUUUUCUCUCAGCAGCACUCAUGCCUCAGGUUCUUAAGACUUUACAUUAUAGCAUUGUUAGUUCGUGACUUAGACUUUUAAAUAUUUUAACAAAAUAUUUUCCCUCUACAUCCAGAUUACACUAAUUUUGUUUAAAAGUUGAAAUAAAAUGGUGCUUAGAGAAUAAGGCUAAGACAAAAGUUUCAUUUUAUUGACAUGUAGAAUGUCCUUUAGCCAUAUUAUUGUAGAAGAUUUCACCAUGAGCAAGAUCAUGAUCUUAUGCAGAAAGUACUAUGUGAUUGGUACUCUAAGACUAGCAUGCAUCCUUCACAGGCGAAGGGAAAUGCCACCCACAAAUCUGACACUAUGUAAAACCCACGCCAUUAGGUUUUUUUUGCAUCUACAUGCAUGCCCUGUGUGUAUAUAUAUGUACUGAACAGGGAUGUAUAUAUAUAUAUAUA